GAUAAACGCUGGCGGCGUGCCUAACACAUGCAAGUCGAACGCGAAAGCCCUUUCGGGGGCAACUAGAGUGGCGUCCGGGUGAGUAACACGUGGGUAAUCUACCUUUGGGUGGGGAAUAACGUCUCGAAAGAGGCGCUAAUACCGCAUAAUGCAGCGGCAUCUAAUGAUGAGAGUUGUUAAAGCGGGGGAUUGCUUCGGCAACCUCGUGCCUGAAGAGGAGCCUGCGGCAGAUUAGCUAGUUGGUGAGGUAAAGGCUCACCAAGGCUACGACGGCUAG
RNAcentral lists this ribosomal RNA (277 nucleotides) under uncultured bacterium. Its description in RNAcentral is "partial 16S ribosomal RNA". It matches the Rfam family "Bacterial small subunit ribosomal RNA", at positions 28 to 286 of the family's 1533-position model. The record is from RNAcentral.